RNAcentral lists this ribosomal RNA (1310 nucleotides) under uncultured bacterium. RNAcentral describes it as "bacterial SSU rRNA". It matches the Rfam family "Bacterial small subunit ribosomal RNA", at positions 27 to 1359 of the family's 1533-position model. The record is from RNAcentral.
GGACGAACGCUGGCGGCGUGCUUAACACAUGCAAGUCGAGCGAAUCAAUGGGAGCUUGCUCCCGUUGGUUAGCGGCGGACGGGUGAGUAACACGUGGGCAACCUGCCUACAAGACUGGGAUAACUUCGGGAAACCGGAGCUAAUACCGGAUAAUCCUUUUUGACACAUGUCAGAAAGCUGAAAGACGGCGCAAGCUGUCACUUAUAGAUGGGCCCGCGGCGCAUUAGCUUGUUGGUGAGGUAAUGGCUCACCAAGGCGAUGAUCAUUAGCUGGUCUGAGAGGAUGAUCAGCCAGACUGGGACUGAGAACGGCCCAGACUCCUACGGGAGGCAGCAGUAGGGAAUUUUCCACAAUGGGCGAAAGCCUGAUGGAGCAACGCCGCGUGCAGGAUGAAGGCCUUCGGGUUGUAAACUGCUUUUGUUUGUGAUGAUUAUGACAGUAACAAGCGAAUAAGGACCUGCUAACUACGUGCCAGCAGCCGCGGUCAUACGUAGGGUCCAAGCGUUAUCCGGAAUUACUGGGCGUAAAGAGUUGCGUAGGUGGCAUAGUAAGUUGGUAGUGAAAGCGUGUGGCUCAACCAUACAUCCAUUACCAAAACUGCUAAGCUAGAAGGCGAGAGAGGUAGAUGGAAUUCCUGAUGUAGGGGUAAUAUCCGUAGAUAUCAGGAGGAACACCGAUGGCGUAGGCAGUCUACUGGCUCGUUCUUGACACUAAGGCACGAAAGCGUGGGGAGCAAACAGGAUUAGAUACCCUGGUAGUCCACGCCGUAAACUAUGGAUGCUAGCUGUAAGGAGUAUCGACCCUUCUUGUAGCGAAGCUAACGCGUUAAGCAUCCCGCCUGUGGAGUACGGUCGCAAGACUAAAACAUAAAGGAAUUGACGGGGACCCGCACAAGCGGUGGAGCGUGUUGUUUAAUUCGAUGGUAAGCGAAGAACCUUACCCAGACUUGACAUCCCGAGAAGGCUUCCGAAAGGAAACUGUGCCGUAAGGAACUCGGUGACAGGUGGUGCAUGGCCGUCGUCAGCUCGUGUCGUGAGACGUUUGGUUAAGUCCAUCAACGAGCGCAACCCCUUUAGUUAGUUGAAUUUUUCUAGCUAGACUGCCCUGGUAACAGGGAGGAAGGAGGGGAUGAGGUCAGGUCAGUAUUUCCCUUACGUCUGGGGCUACAAACACGCUACAAUGGCCGGUACAAAGGGCUGCCAAGUCGCGAGACGGAGCAAAUCCCAUCAAAGCCGGUCUCAGUUCGGAUAGUAGGCUGAAACUCGCCUGCUUGAAGCCGGAAUCGCUAGUAACGGUAGGUCAGCACACUA